RNAcentral lists this transfer RNA (93 nucleotides) under Oryctolagus cuniculus (rabbit). It matches the Rfam family "tRNA". From Rfam's summary of the family: Transfer RNA (tRNA) molecules are approximately 80 nucleotides in length. Their secondary structure includes four short double-helical elements and three loops (D, anti-codon, and T loops). Lineage: Eukaryota; Metazoa; Chordata; Mammalia; Lagomorpha; Leporidae. The record is from Rfam by way of RNAcentral.
CCUUCGAUAGCUCAGCUGGUAGAGCGGAGGACUGUAGGACAGAUGGUAUCUGUAGACAUCCUUAGGUCGCUGGUUCGAUUCCGGCUCGAAGGA